AUACUUACCUGGCAGGGGAGAUAUCAUGAUCACGAAGGUGGUUUUCCCAGGGCAUGGCUUAUCCAUUGCACUACAGGUGUGCUGACCCCCGUGAUUUCCCCAAAUGUGGGAAACUUGACCACAUAAUCUGUGGUCGUAGGGGAAAAAAAUGUUAAAAGAAAAAAGAGGUAAUUUAUCCUCUU
Molecule: small nuclear RNA, 182 nt
Organism: Delphinapterus leucas (beluga whale)
Lineage: Eukaryota; Metazoa; Chordata; Mammalia; Artiodactyla; Monodontidae
Gene: U1
Rfam family: U1 spliceosomal RNA
About the family: U1 is a small nuclear RNA (snRNA) component of the spliceosome (involved in pre-mRNA splicing). Its 5' end forms complementary base pairs with the 5' splice junction, thus defining the 5' donor site of an intron.
Source: Ensembl